UUUGAGUUAUAAAGUAAUGAGACUGAUUUUCAUAUGUACUUUAUGGAAAUCCAUCUUAUUAUUUCAUAGCGGAUCCUUAUUAU
RNAcentral lists this microRNA precursor (83 nucleotides) under Notamacropus eugenii (tammar wallaby). Its description in RNAcentral is "miRNA (ENSMEUG00000017786.1)". Lineage: Eukaryota; Metazoa; Chordata; Mammalia; Diprotodontia; Macropodidae. The record is from RNAcentral.